CGGCACAGUAGAGAUGUCACACCAGUGCAGCUGUAUUUACUUUUAGAGAACAAUCUAGAAGGUGCAGAAAAGGUUUGGGAUAACAGAAGACUUCCAAAUGAUAUGAAAGUAUAAACUACUCCAUCCUCCUCUAUAGUGUGUAGCAGUGGCAUGUGGGUCUGUAUCACUGUGAAAUGCUGAAGACUUUAACUAUAGCAUUAACCAUCAGGACACGAGUCCACACGCGCAGAAGAAUUUGAACAAGGUGAAUCCGAAAGCUCAGAGGUCACAGUGAUGUAUUUUUGGCCCUUCAUAGCAGGAGGAGCAACUAUUAUUAUUUUUCUUCUUGUGGUCAUGACAUGUUGCAUUGUGUAUAAACGAAAAAAAACAUCAGAUCAACCAUAUUAUGCAAACAGCCAGCAGGUUCGAGAUGCCAGACAAGAUCAAAUCAUCUAUGGUAGGUUUAAUGAGUAUUUCUUGUUUUACACAAAUAGUAGGUU
RNAcentral lists this long non-coding RNA (479 nucleotides) under Sinocyclocheilus anshuiensis. RNAcentral describes it as "lncRNA (ENSSANG00000014079.1)". Lineage: Eukaryota; Metazoa; Chordata; Actinopteri; Cypriniformes; Cyprinidae. The record is from RNAcentral.